UAACCUCGGAGAUGGAACUGCUACUGGUUCUGCUUAAGCUUCUUCUGUUGAUCAAACACCGCUUCCCUUCUGACCUAACCACUUCUUCCACCACGAAGUUAAGCAGCGUCGUCCUCCCGUCGACGCUCUGCACGUCGGAGAGUUUCAACAGCGCAACGCUCUUCACGUCGGAGAGUUUCAACAGCGCUGUGAGAUUAAAAGCUUGAGCGUCUCCUCUAGCUGUUCCAGCAUUCAUCCUGUUUCCGGAUUUAAGUAUCGCUUCGAGAAGCUUGACGAACAAGCCACGCGACCUAAGCUCC
This 299-nucleotide long non-coding RNA is filed under the name Brassica napus (rape). Its description in RNAcentral is "long non-coding RNA (BNAP_LNC012139)". Lineage: Eukaryota; Viridiplantae; Streptophyta; Magnoliopsida; Brassicales; Brassicaceae. The record is from RNAcentral.